CAGCCGCCACGGUAAUACGAAGGGUGCAAGCGUUACUCGGAAUUACUGGGCGUAAAGCGUGUGUAGGUGGUUGUUUAAGUCUGUCGUGAAAGCCCUGGGCUCAACCUGGGAAUUGCGAUGGAUACUGGGCGACUAGAGUGCGGUAGAGGAUAGUGGAAUUUCCGGUGUAGCAGUGAAAUGCGUAGAGAUCGGAAGGAACAUCUGUGGCGAAGGCGACUAUCUGGGCCAACACUGACACUGAGACACGAUAGCGUGGGGAGCAAACAGGAUUAGAUACCCCUGUAGUCCCUGUCUCUUAUAC
This 301-nucleotide ribosomal RNA is filed under the name uncultured bacterium. RNAcentral's name for it is "partial 16S ribosomal RNA". It matches the Rfam family "Bacterial small subunit ribosomal RNA", at positions 509 to 807 of the family's 1533-position model. The record is from RNAcentral.